UCUGGUGACGAUGGCGAGAAGGUCACACCCGUUCCCAUACCGAACACGGAAGUUAAGCUUCUCAGCGCCGAUGGUAGUUGGGGGUUUCCCCCUGUGAGAGUAGGACGUCGCCGGGC
Molecule: ribosomal RNA, 116 nt
Filed under: Mesobacillus jeotgali
Lineage: Bacteria; Bacillati; Bacillota; Bacilli; Caryophanales; Bacillaceae
Also listed under: 16 other names
Source: RNAcentral